Molecule: transfer RNA, 74 nt
Filed under: Actinomycetota bacterium
Lineage: Bacteria; Bacillati; Actinomycetota
Description: tRNA-Leu
Rfam family: tRNA
About the family: Transfer RNA (tRNA) molecules are approximately 80 nucleotides in length. Their secondary structure includes four short double-helical elements and three loops (D, anti-codon, and T loops).
Source: RNAcentral
GGGGGUGUAGCCCAACAGGCAGAGGCAGGACGCUUAAAACGUCCGCAGUGAGGGUUCGAAUCCCUCCACCCCCA